Molecule: long non-coding RNA, 4887 nt
Filed under: Nicotiana tabacum (common tobacco)
Lineage: Eukaryota; Viridiplantae; Streptophyta; Magnoliopsida; Solanales; Solanaceae
Description: long non-coding RNA (NTAB_LNC006855)
Source: RNAcentral
AAAACAAAAACAAAAUAAAUGACCCCAUUAAUAUUUUAAUAACUCUUUCAUAUUUUAAAUUAAAACAUUAUUAUGAAAUGUUCAGUCACUCUCUCUAACUCUCAAAACCUGGAAUUAGACAUCGUCUCUCUCAGCCUCAACCCAGAACACAUCGACCUCACCAUCGACCAUCUCUCUCAGCCAGAUCCGGCGAAGGAAGGCAACUACCGAUGAAUGACGACCAAUUUCGGCUAACAUACAAGCAAUCUCCGAGGUAGGCUAUCGAUUUUUCCCCUGUUUGAUGUUUGUAUAACUAUUCGAUUUUCGCUUUCUUUUUCCCCUUAUGCUUUCUUUAUUUAUCUGGUAAUAGUUUUGAUAAACCCAUUAUUUUACUUCUUCUUUGUUUGUAUUACAUGAUACAUUUUGUGAUUUCUAGUUUGCACAAUUGGGGGAUUUAUUUAUUAGGUUUUGAUUUUCUGUUUGAAACCAUGAGAUUUUCUUUAUUCGAUGUUUGCUAUCGAUGUUCGAUGUUUGAUUUUCGUUGUUCGCUAUCUUGGUUAUUCAGAAAAACCGUUUCGUUGCUCCUUUUUUCUUUCUCUGGUAAUAUUUUUGAUAAACACAUUCUUUUACUUCUGUCCGAUUAUGCUUGUGCAGCUUUCACUUAAAAUUGUGAGAUUCGUUCAUGUUUGUACUUUAGUCUAACGGGUAACUAUUUGCCUUUACGUCUAUUAGACAUUGGGGUUAUUCUUCUACAAAUUGCUUGCCUUUCUAAAUUUUCUUGUUUGGUAAAAAUGAUGCUAUCUAAUCCUUAAAAUCCAUCUAAUAAACUUUCGGAAGUAGUCGUCAAUCAUAUUCUCAUAGUUGUAAUUCAUAACUUAGUGCAAAGAACGAAAAGCUAUAAGCAUUCUGUGCAAGUUGUAAACUGUUGAGGUCUUUUCUUUAUAAUUACGACCUAGGAAAUUAAUUUACCCAUUUCCAAUUACAUAUUUUGUCCAAUUUUACGAUGUUAUUUGGUCACAAUAUGUCUCACAAUAGUAGAACUUUCCUAGAACAGUGAAUAUCCAAACCUCUUUCUAAGCAAAGGCAGAAAAGACGGCCUAAUUCUAGUCCUGUCAACUUCAUUAUAAAAUGUAAAGGUACAAGACUCAAGUCCUUAAACUAUUAUAUGUACAGUAAACUUUUAAGCAAAUGAAAGGUGCUAUGGAUAGAAGACAUGGAAACACCUAAUACGAUGAACUUAUAAGUUGGUAUGUACAAUCCAAUUGAAAUCAGAGCUGCGGCAUAUAUCUGUAGCUAAUGUUUUCAAAUUUAAACAAGGUUGAAUCCAUGGAAGAACUGUUUCUGUUGAGACGAGUUUAUAUGGUCAGUGAGGAUAGAUAUAGCAAACUUCAACUUGCUUGUAAUUGAGGCAUAAUAGUAGUUGUUGUAGGAGUUCUUAAUCCUCAGUUGGUAAAUUUUAGCCAAAACACUUGAGCCCUUAGAUAGUGAAAACGAAUCAUGUGCGAUUAUAUUAAUUUUGCUUCCAUGCCUUCCAACAAAAGAAGGUUGUUCUCCAAAGUUUAACAGUUUGGUUUAAAUGGCUGGAAAAUGGAGAAAACAGCAGAUUAAUAAUAUCAAGGGAAUGUGAUACUUAUUAUGAAGAACUGGGAAGUUGACUCAUAUUGCAGCACCAAUGGUGGCAGUUUCUGUAUUGCAGUAUCUAUUGCAAGUGGUAUCAGUGUACUUAGUGACUAAGAACUUUGUUUCAAACUUAGAUUUACAUGAGAAAAAUGGUUAAAAAACUAAUAUUGUGCACCUGUUUCUAUAGGUUCUGCGUCCUUAGAGACAUGGUUCUGAUCACUACAAAAAAAAAUUAGAAUCAACUAUGAACGUCGUCGCUAAUCCGUCGUUAAAACACUCGUAGCUAGCAGAAUUUCUUACUAAUCCGUUGCUAAUCCAUCGCUAAAUGAGACUAGCGAUGGAUUUUUCUGUUUAGCUACAGAAUUUGUCCGUCGCUAAAACCUGAUUUUUUUAGUAGUAGAUAUUUAGGAAUUUGCCGAGCACUUGUUUUAGCUGCCUUCUCAUGCCUUCAAAUGCCCUAAUCUUCCUCUUUGAAGCCAUAUAUGUUCCAUCUAGAUGAUAACACAACCUCAAUAUUUCUAUGGUAACAAGAACCUUUCUUAAUUGUAGAGAAAAGAAGACAUGCUAGCACAAAAGAAGAUACCAGAUGGGCAGAAAGAAGAAAUGUCACAGGUUCUGUGCCAUAACCAUAGGCAACGUCACUAGAAGAAGACUAUGAUGAUUUGAUAUCUUUAUACUAAAUUAUAUAUUAGAACUGGAAUUUGUGAAUUUGUAAUCAUAAGGGUUAUUAGACGUGCAUGAGUGAUAGUAUAUGGUAUGGUAUGUAUAUCGUUGUCUUAAAGUAUAUAUUCAGAUCCUGCUUGCUCUCUCUCUCUCUCUCUCACACACACACACACACACACACACACACACACACACUCACACACACACACACACACACACACACACACACACUCACACUCAUUGGAUAGGCAUGCAUUAGGCAAUAAGCUGGUUCCCUUUCUAUGUUAAAUGCUUAAUUCUGGCAAAUUUGUAGAAGAAACCAAAUAGGUAGAAAACUAGAACUAGAAGUAGUAACUCAUACAACUUAGAGUCGCUAGUUUAAUGCAGCUCAAUUGACUUUCCUGCAUCUUCAUACCUGCUGUUUAGAUUAGAUAUACCAGAUGAAUAUAGGUAAUACUUUUUACUGGCUUAGACAUAAAACAGGAUACUGACAGUUUGCUGGGAAAAGAGAUUAAGGAAUCAUAUUUAGUUCGCCAUACAUAUUAUUUUGCUAUGCUUUGUACCUACGAUAAUAUCAUAUUAAUUUGGAACCUAAAGAAUAAGCCCCUAUGUUUGCCCAGCAAAAAGUAGGAUUGCCACUUUAUGGACAAGGCUUUCUGAACUUGUAGGUUAUUUGUUGAUCAUUGAACCCAGAGAUUUGUAGUUCUAAGAAUACAGCUUCUAGUAGAGUGUAAAAAAGAAAUGAACUUAACUACAUCUGUACAUCAUCUUUCAGAUGACACAAGACAUAUCAAAUUGUGCUUAAAAGCAAAGAAAAGAAACUAACUUAAAUUGUAUCUGUUCCUACCAUUUUUCUCUUUCUUUGGCUUGUAUUUAAGGUACAAUCCUUUAAAAAACGUUUUUAACAUUAUAAGUUGAACCUUAUUCUUGAUUCAACAUCAUGUGCAUAAUGAAUAUAAACGUGGGAUUAGCAACUGGAACUUCAAUCUUGAAGAUUUGAAGGCACAAGCUUGCCUGGUAUUUGAAUCUAUAUUUAAUUGCGCAUACACCAAUAAUAUCUUAAUACGUGUGCUUUAGCUUUACUUUUCUGAUGAGAAAUGCGUGUUAUUCGAAGAGAGCAUAAUGGUGUUUGGUUUCUCAAACACAAGUUAGUCAUUGUAUUUUAAAUGUUAAUUUUUCACCUACGGAACUUGCUAUGGGACGAUUUCUCAUCGAUAUUACCCAUUGUGGAUUUUUCUUUUCUAAAAGCAAGAGAAAUGAACUCUAGUUUGCAAACAAUACCUUUUUCUUUUUUGCUUUUAGAUUCCAGAUGAGGAAAUUAUUGGUGAGAAUGACCAAGGUGGGAGUACAAAUGCACUCCCAGGGCUUGACAACCAAGGAAAACGGCUUCAAUGUCAAUUCUCCUUUGGAAGUCAAAAUUCAGAUGCUACAGGAUUCCAUGUGAACUUUAAACUUUAUGUAGUAGCCUAAUACCAUGCGAUGUUUCCUCUAGUUCUUCUUGGCCAUGGCUGUUGUUUUUCUUCUUUCUCUGCUUCAUGAUGAGCUACAAACUCGGACUUCUCACUUAUUUUUGUAACGAAGAUCAUGAAUCUGUUCACCAGUAGGCCCCUUCACCUAAAAACUCACCAUCUUAGCAACAUCAAUACAAUAAUCCAUUACAAAUAACUGUAAUGGAUAAAGUAGAAAAUGUAUGACUUGACUAUUUAAGAUAUCAUCAUCAUGAAAUCUGCAACUCAAAACAUGUUUGAAUAUGCACCCUCAUAGACUCUUUUCGAUGAUUGUUUUCACUCUUUUAGAACCGGAUGGAUUGACAAUAACAUCAUCCAAACCAGCUGUUCGUGCACCAGCAUCAAGAGCAUCAGGUGAAUUAUUUUGUGCACCUGUUUCUAUAGGUUUUGCGUCCUUAGAGACCUAGUUCUGAUAUUUAGGAAUUUUCCGAGCACUUGUGUUAGCUGACUUCUCAUUCUUAUCUUCUUUAGUCCCAUCAGAAACACCAAGGAAUCGAGAUGCUACUGUUGAACUUUGUCCAGAUUUAUCAUGAACCACCUGCUGAAGUUGCCGAGAUUCUUCAUUCACAUCUUUACCAUAUGUUUUAUCCAGAACAUGUUGCUGCACCUCGACUGUUUUGAUUACUGAAUUAGCUCAAUCAUCAAUUACACCCAAAUCUGAACACACAACCUUGUGCACCCCAGCUCUCUUCUCCUGCACGCAUGAAACUAUCUGCAUAUUUGACUGCCCAAUCACUUGUUGCUGCACCUCGACUGCUUUGGUGCGCACUUAAUUGUCAUUCAAUUAUCUUAAAAAUAUUGUUCAAUUAUUUCUAAUUGUAUUUUGCAGGUGCAUCGAUUGUGGAUGAAAGCAGUGACGAAGACCUUACUUGAGUGUUGUUGAUCGUUGUUAGACUUUCUAUUGUCAUGUUCAAGGAUAUUUUAGUUUAGAACUUUAUUUUUUUAUGCAAACUCAUCUAUUUUAACUUUUGAAUUGUUGAUCAAACAAUGUAUUCAUAUUUUGUUUUUGUUUAUGGAUAAUGUUAGUUGGGUAUUUUAAUUUUAUUUUGUGGUUUAUAUAGGUUAUGGUGUAUAAAAUUUCAUUGCGUAGGGAAAUAUUCCUCCUUUUGCUUCCAUA